GACGAACGCUGGCGGCGUGCCUAAUACAUGCAAGUAGAACGCUGAAGGAGGAGCUUGCUUCUCUGGAUGAGUUGCGAACGGGUGAGUAACGCGUAGGUAACCUGCCUGGUAGCGGGGGAUAACUAUUGGAAACGAUAGCUAAUACCGCAUAAGAGUAGAUGUUGCAUGACAUUUGCUUAAAAGGUGCAAUUGCAUCACUACCAGAUGGACCUGCGUUGUAUUAGCUAGUUGGUGGGGUAACGGCUCACCAAGGCGACGAUACAUAGCCGACCUGAGAGGGUGAUCGGCCACCCUGGGACUGAGACACGGCCCAGACUCCUACGGGAGGCAGCAGUAGGGAAUCUUCGGCAAUGGACGGAAGUCUGACCGAGCAACGCCGCGGGAGUGAAGAAGGUUUUCGGAUCGUAAAGCUCUGUUGUAAGAGAAGAACGAGUGUGAGAGUGGAAAGUUCACACUGUGACGGUAUCUUACCAGAAAGGGACGGCUAACUACGUG
RNAcentral lists this ribosomal RNA (495 nucleotides) under uncultured bacterium. RNAcentral's name for it is "partial 16S ribosomal RNA". It matches the Rfam family "Bacterial small subunit ribosomal RNA", at positions 28 to 507 of the family's 1533-position model. The record is from RNAcentral.